Molecule: ribosomal RNA, 336 nt
Filed under: uncultured bacterium
Lineage: Bacteria
Description: bacterial SSU rRNA
Rfam family: Bacterial small subunit ribosomal RNA
Source: RNAcentral
GAGGGAUAACUGCUCGAAAGGGUAGCUAAUACCGCAUAUGAUCUUCGGAUUAAAGCAUUUAUGCGCUUUGGGAGCGGCCCGCGUCGGAUUAGCUUGUUGGUGAGGUAAAGGCUCACCAAGGCGACGAUCCGUAGCUGGUCUGAGAGGAUGAUCAGCCAGACUGGAACUGAGACACGGUCCAGACUCCUACGGGAGGCAGCAGUAAGGAAUCUUCCACAAUGGGCGAAAGCCUGAUGGAGCAACGCCGCGUGCAGGAUGAAGGCCCUCGGGUCGUAAACUGCUUUAUAAGUGAGGAAUAUGACGGUAACUUAUGAAUAAGGAUCGGCUAACCACGUG